UUCCAGCUCCAAUAGCGUAUAUUAAAGUUGUUGCGGUUAAAAAGCUCGUAGUUGGAUUUCUGCCGAGGACGACCGGUCCGGCCUCUGAGUGAGCUUCUGGUUCGGCCUGGUGCAUCUUCUUGAGAUAAGGUAUCUGCACUUGACUGUGUGGGGCGAUAUUCAAGACUUUUACUUUGAGGAAAUUAGAGUGUUUCAAGCAGGCACCCGCCUUGAAUACAUUAACAUGCAAGAAUAAGAUAGGACCUCGGUUCUAUUUUGUUGGUUUCUAGAUCUGAGGUAAUGAUUAAUAAGGAUAGUUGGGGGCAUUCGUAUUUAACUGCCAGAGGUGAAAUUCUUGGAUUUGUGAACGACGUGCUACUGCGAAAGCAUUUGGCGAGGAUGUUUUCAUUGAUCAAGAACGAAAGUUAGGGGAUCGAAGACGAUCAGAUACCGUCCUAGUCUUAACCAUAUACCAUGCCGACUAGAGAUUGGAGGUCGUUAUCCAUACGACUCCUUCAGCACCUUAUGAGAAAUCAAAGUCUUUGGGUUCCGGGGGGAGUAUGGUCGCAAGGGUGAAACUUAAAGGAAUUGACGGAAGGGCACCACCAGGAGUGGAGCCUCCGGCUUAAUUUGACUCAACACGGGGAAACUUACCAGGUCCAGACAUAGUAAGGAUUGACAGAUUGAUAGCUCUUUCUUGAUUAUAUGGGUGGUGGUGCAUGGCCGUUCCUAGUUGGUGGAGUGAUUUGUCUGGUUAAUUCCGUUAACGAACGAGACCUUAACCUGCUAAAUAGCUACACGUAACUUCGGUUACGUGGGCAACUUCUUAGAGGGACUCUGCGUGUCUAACGCAAGGAAGUAUGAGGCAAUAACAGGUCUCUGAUCCCCUUAGAUGUUCUGGGCUGCACGCCCCCUACACUGAUGCGCUCAACGAGUAUGCCACCUUGCCCGGAAGGGUUGGCUAAUCUUCUUAAAACGCAUCGUGAUGGGGAUAGAUUAUUGCAAUUAUUAAUCUUCAACGAGGAAUUCCUAGUAAGCGCAAGUCAUCAUCUUGCGCUGAAUACGUUCCCGCCCUU
RNAcentral lists this ribosomal RNA (1055 nucleotides) under uncultured eukaryote. RNAcentral's name for it is "SSU rRNA". It matches the Rfam family "Eukaryotic small subunit ribosomal RNA", at positions 583 to 1660 of the family's 1831-position model. The record is from RNAcentral.